UACGUAGGCAGCAAGCGUUGUUCGGAGUUACUGGGCGUAAAGGGUGUGUAGGCGGUUUUUUAAGUUUGGUGUGAAAUCUCCCGGCUCAACUGGGAGGGUGCGCCGAAUACUGAAAGACUAGAGUGCGGGAGAGGAACAUGGAACUCCAGGUGUAGUAGUGAAAUGCGUAGAUAUUGGGAAGAACACCGGUGGCGAAGGCGGCGACCUGGUCCGACACUGACGCUGAGGCGCGAAAGCGUGGGGAGCAAACAGG
This 253-nucleotide ribosomal RNA is filed under the name uncultured bacterium. Its description in RNAcentral is "partial 16S ribosomal RNA". It matches the Rfam family "Bacterial small subunit ribosomal RNA", at positions 524 to 776 of the family's 1533-position model. The record is from RNAcentral.